AUGGGCAGGCGCUCCGCGAAGGCCGCCCCUCAGACAGCUAUCUUUUCAGCAGGGCUUGCCCGGGUCUGCUUAAACUGGGAAGUGAAGCAUGCAAAGGCUGAGAGGGAGGCGGAGGCAACCGAGAGGAGCAAGCAGGGACGGGCGAGGCGAGCCGGCCGUCAAAAACGGCAUAUGUCCUCCAGAAAACUGAGGUGAGAACAUCGAAUUAGAAUCCACAAUGCAUGUCAUCGGUGACAGAAUGAAAGCUCGUAAAGAGACCGAGGCUGAGCUCAAGAUCACACUAGGAAAUGACUGAUCCAGAAAAACGUCUUCAAUUGGCCAACUUCCAGACAGGUGAGAAAAAUUGUCUCCAACGUGCUGUUGAGCCAUAAGUUGUCUCUUUAUUACAUCCCAGAGGGAAGAAGUUGAAUGGAAAAGAUUCCACAGUUUAACUAUGAGAGGACGUUACACAUUUCAGUGGAAGAAAAAAAUUUUCAUCAAAAGCUAAGUAGAUAAAUUAAAGAUGCUAUAAUAAGUCUUGGGAUAUAGGCUGUGCAUUUGUUUUGCUUUGUUUUUUAAAUCCAUUAAAGAUACUAAAUCUGUAUACCAGAUGCUGAAGUAGGACUCACUCAACUCAGUUUUGCCUUUCCCAUCUGAAGUCAGUCAGUCUUUAGGGCAGCUGAUUGCUUUUGGAGUCUGGAGGUGAGGGAGAGCUGGCAGGGACAGAGGGAAGAGAAGAGAGAAGAUCCAGGGACAGUGACUGCAGACUCCCUGAGGAAGUCUCGGGAUGUACAAUAUGGGAAAGUGCCAAAGUCCUAAGCUGGAAAACAAAGCAAAACCAAACCAAACCCCAGCAUGGGGAAAUAAAAGGAAGUUCUACACUGAACAGAGUGUGCACAGAAGCAUCUCUUUAUGUGAAGAGCAGUGGAGUUUUGUGGCCUGAACACACAAUUACAUAGAAUUUAGUAAUACAAAAGCUACUAUUUAUUGAAUGCUUUUUAACAAAUAGGACUUUAAUAAGUAGUACUGUGCUUAAUAUCUUACAGAGAUUAUUUUAUUCGAUCCUCACACAGUUGACACAAUUAUAGACUGUGUUCCAUUUUGCAGAUGAGGAAAUGGAAACAUUAAUCAGUUGCCUACUAAGUGGGCCAACAAUCUGACUGGAAUCUAGAAUUCUUCCUCCCCCUUGCAAUAUCAGUGGUUUUGAUGAGGGUUCUUGCUUGCAAGCAACAAAAUGAGCUCUGGUUAUCUAAAGGAAACAAAAAUGUUGAAGGAAAGGGGGCUCAUAGACUCUGAGAGGCUGGAAGAACAGGCUUAGGAAACAAGGAAGAACCCAGGGCCUAAGGAGGCCAGGCCAUAGGAACACUCUAUCCAAGAUGCCACCAUCUCUGCUUCUGCUGCACCACACCUUCUAGAAAUGACUACUGGACAUCAUGCUGACCCCUUGAACUGCUCCUCCUUCAUCGGGGUGCACGGGCCUGUGUGGGAGGGUCCAUGGCCCGGCACUGGGGCCCCUGCUCUAU
Molecule: long non-coding RNA, 1502 nt
Organism: Dama dama (fallow deer)
Lineage: Eukaryota; Metazoa; Chordata; Mammalia; Artiodactyla; Cervidae
Exons: 4
Source: RefSeq, a predicted model, not a curated record